Molecule: ribosomal RNA, 253 nt
Filed under: uncultured bacterium
Lineage: Bacteria
Description: partial 16S ribosomal RNA
Rfam family: Bacterial small subunit ribosomal RNA
Source: RNAcentral
UACGUAGGGUGCAAGCGUUGUCCGGAAUUAUUGGGCGUAAAGAGCUCGUAAGCGGUUUGUCGCGUCUGCUGUGAAAAUCCAGGGCUUAACCCUGGACCUGCAGUGGGUACGGGCAGACUGGAGUGCGGUAGGGGAGAUCGGAAUUCCUGGUGUAGCGGUGAAAUGCGCAGAUAUCAGGAGGAACACCGGUGGCGAAGGCGGAUCUCUGGGCCGUAACUGACGCUGAGGAGCGAAAGCAUGGGGAGCGAACAGG